CCGAACCCUGGACACCGAGGCCCCCGGGCCGGAGAGCGGAGCCCUGGGGUCGUCCGAAGCGCGGGGCCCUGAGCCCCCCGGGUUAGACAGAGAAAUUCCCGGGCCUGCCGCAGAGCAGGAUACCGAGGUCCCCAGGCCAGGCGGCGAGGUCCCCGUGCCCUCCCCAGACCAGGGCACGGAGACCCCCGAGCAAGAGAGCGAAGUCCUCGGGCCAUCAGCGGGGCAGGAGGCAGAGCGCCCUGGACCGACCGCAGCUGAGAGCUUCGAGAGUCCUGGGCGAGGCAGCGACGACGCUGAACCGUGUGAAGCGCGAGGCGCGGGGCUCUUGGAGCAGUGUCCCUCUCAAGGUCCGGAAACUUCCUCUGAGUCAAACUCGGAAUCCCCCCAGCUGCGUUUUCUACUGCGCUCCGAGACCCCACAACAGCCCCCAGAGGAGCCGCUCAUGGAGACGCCCAUCGAGCGCGAAAUCCGCCGCAGCUGCGAACGCGAGGAGAGCCUGCGCCGGAGCCGGGGCCUGAGCCCAGGUCGCGCGGGCCGCGAACUCGUCGAACUGCGUGUGCGGCCGGUGCUCACCCUGCCGGGCCCCGGCUCCGCGCUCCCGCGCGCCUUGGAGCGCGCUCGGGCGGGCGCGCAGAUGCAGCGAGACAUCGAGCGGGAGGCCCAUCGGCAGGCGGCGCUAGCGCGCCCCGAGGUCCCAAAGCAGCGCGCCCGGCAGCCGCCUCAGCCGCUGGGCGAGCUCAAGCGCUUCUUCGAGGCUGCUGGCGGGUGCGGCUCCUCGCCGGCGGCGGAGGGCAGCGCGGACCCGCAGCGGCUGCCUGAGCCCGGAGGCCGGCCACGUUCAGUCGUGCAGAGCCGGUGCCCGGUGCUGGCCCGCGCCCCGCCGCCCAUCGCACCAUCGCUGCUGGAGCAGGAGGUGCGCGAGGUGAAUGAGCGCGAGCGGGAACUGCAGCGCCAGCGCCUCAGCGUCUACGGCACCGCCGAGUUCAAGGAGCCCGCGCCCAGCCUAACUGGGGCGCGGCCGCUCUCCUUCGUCCUGGCCGCCUCCAGCUGGUGAGAGGAGGGGCAAUCUCGGCUGAGCGCCCCUUCCCCCGCAGCGAGCAGGGGCGACGGAAAGCUGGCAGUGAUCUGGCCUCCCCGCAGAAAGGCUUCGGAGAACGGUCUGGAGCAGGAGGAGCGGAAGCCUUGAGGUUCGAGCCGGCUGGGGUCCCCGGACGAAGGUAACAUGCCCGCCAGAGGACCCAGGCAGGGGCGCCCAGGAGUGCCCUCCGGAUCGGCGGAAGGCCUGGAGAGGGGCUACAGGUCUGAGCCAGGAAAGACGCAAUCGAUCAGCCCCUCCUCGAACCUGACUUUGUGAAAUUGACCAGAAUCUUCUAUAAAACUGUUAGUCCCAACUGGGAAACACCACCAUCAACAGCCCCGCCAGUAAAACUGCCCCGCUCUUCUCCACCUAACUGCCAACGGAACUAUCCUCUCCUUCCGGCCUUGACUGUUAGAUAGGGGUCACCUCCUCGGCUGUCCCCACUCUCCAAUAAAGCCCCUUCUUUCUGGGCAGUGCAGGCUGUUUUCUUCUGGGUCCUCUUCGUCUGCGGUGGGGUGGGGCGGGAGCGCGGCGAGAGGAGCUAGGCUUGAGAAAGUCGCCGGAGGCGCCGGCUGGAAUGCAGA
RNA transcript from Balaenoptera acutorostrata (minke whale), 1662 nucleotides. It is a transcript of the gene named MISP family member 3, with no coding region annotated. The record is from RefSeq and is a predicted model, not a curated record. The transcript is spliced from 3 exons. NCBI's taxonomy places the organism in Eukaryota, Metazoa, Chordata, Mammalia, Artiodactyla, Balaenopteridae.